UACGUAGGGGGCCAGCGUUGUCCGAAGUUACUGGGCGUAAAGCGCGUGUAGGCGGGCCUCUAAGUGGGUGGUGAAAGGUGCGGGCUCAACCGGCACACUGCCGCUCAUACUGGGGGCCUUGAGUGCGGGAGGGGCGGGCGGAAUUCUUGGUGUAGCGGUGAAAUGCGUAGAUAUCAAGAGGAACACCCGUGGCGAAGGCGGCCCGCUGGCCCGCAACUGACGCUGAGACGCGAAAGCCGGGGGAGCGAACAGG
This 253-nucleotide ribosomal RNA is filed under the name uncultured bacterium. RNAcentral's name for it is "partial 16S ribosomal RNA". It matches the Rfam family "Bacterial small subunit ribosomal RNA", at positions 524 to 776 of the family's 1533-position model. The record is from RNAcentral.